GCUCCCCUCUUUCUUCGUGCCUAAUACAUGCAAGUCGAGCGAACAGACGAGGAGCUUGCUCCUCUGACGUUAGCGGCGGACGGGUGAGUAACACGUGGAUAACCUACCUAUAAGACUGGGAUAACUUCGGGAAACCGGAGCUAAUACCGGAUAAUAUAUUGAACCGCAUGGUUCAAUAGUGAAAGACGGUUUUGCUGUCACUUAUAGAUGGAUCCGCGCCGCAUUAGCUAGUUGGUAAGGUAACGGCUUACCAAGGCGACGAUGCGUAGCCGACCUGAGAGAGUGAUCGGCCACACUGGAACUGAGACACGGUCCAGACUCCUACGGGAGGCAGCAGUAGGGAAUCUUCCGCAAUGGGCGAAAGCCUGACGGAGCAACGCCGCGUGAGUGAUGAAGGUCUUCGGAUCGUAAAACUCUGUUAUUAGGGAAGAACAAAUGUGUAAGUAACUAUGCACGUCUUGACGGUACCUAAUCAGAAAGCCACGGCUAACUACGUG
RNAcentral lists this ribosomal RNA (497 nucleotides) under uncultured bacterium. RNAcentral's name for it is "partial 16S ribosomal RNA". It matches the Rfam family "Bacterial small subunit ribosomal RNA", at positions 36 to 507 of the family's 1533-position model. The record is from RNAcentral.